Molecule: ribosomal RNA, 459 nt
Filed under: uncultured bacterium
Lineage: Bacteria
Description: partial 16S ribosomal RNA
Rfam family: Bacterial small subunit ribosomal RNA
Source: RNAcentral
CCUACGGGUGACAGCAGUGAGGAAUAUUGGUCAAUGGGCGCGAGCCUGAACCAGCCAAGUCGCGUGAGGGAAGACGGUCCUAUGGAUUGUAAACCUCUUUUGUCGGGGAGCAAAAGACGCCACGCGUGGCGUUCCGAGAGUACCCGAAGAAACAGCAUCUGCUAACUCCGUGCCAGCAGCCGCGGUAAUACGGAGGAUGCGAGCGUUAUCCGGAUUUAUUGGGUUUAAAGGGUGCGCAGGCGGAAGAUCAAGUCAGCGGGAAAAUUGAGAGGCUCAACCUCUUCGAGCCGUUGAAACUGGUUUUCUUGAGUGGGCGAGAAGUAUGCCGAAUGCGUGGUGUAGCGGUGAAAUGCAUAGAUAUCACGCAGAACUCCGAUUGCGAAGGCAGCAUACCGGCGCUCAACUGACGCUCAUGCACGAAAGUGUGGGUAUCGAACAGGAUUAGAUACCCCUGUAGUC